UUGAAGACCAUCAUCAUUUUGUAAUUUCUGUAUGAUAAAUCACACCUGUCAUUUUGAGAGCCAAUAGAUAAUAAGAAACAACGUACAAGCAGCAAUGACAGUGGACAGAAUAAUGGUGUCUCUUGAUCUCCGUCUCCUGAUAGAACCAAGCAGGCCACGGAUAAUAGGAAACGUGUCACUUAGAAGCUUCACUUUUCCUUGAACAUCUCCAAACAAAGCCCUUUGAGAACCUAAGACAGCUCUUGUUGUUUGAGCUUGA
Molecule: unclassified non-coding RNA, 259 nt
Filed under: Hevea brasiliensis (rubber tree)
Lineage: Eukaryota; Viridiplantae; Streptophyta; Magnoliopsida; Malpighiales; Euphorbiaceae
Source: RNAcentral